RNAcentral lists this transfer RNA (76 nucleotides) under Marivirga lumbricoides. RNAcentral's name for it is "tRNA-Arg". The record is from RNAcentral. Lineage: Bacteria; Pseudomonadati; Bacteroidota; Cytophagia; Cytophagales; Marivirgaceae.
GGCUUUCAGAUAGUUAUAAGGAGGGUUAAAAAGUUUCCUAAACUUUAGAUGCAGGUUCGAUUCCUGCCGGAGCCAC